Molecule: ribosomal RNA, 503 nt
Filed under: Listeria monocytogenes
Lineage: Bacteria; Bacillati; Bacillota; Bacilli; Caryophanales; Listeriaceae
Description: bacterial SSU rRNA
Rfam family: Bacterial small subunit ribosomal RNA
Source: RNAcentral
GGUGGUGCAUGGUUGUCGUCAGCUCGUGUCGUGAGAUGUUGGGUUAAGUCCCGCAACGAGCGCAACCCUUGAUUUUAGUUGCCAGCAUUUAGUUGGGCACUCUAAAGUGACUGCCGGUGCAAGCCGGAGGAAGGUGGGGAUGACGUCAAAUCAUCAUGCCCCUUAUGACCUGGGCUACACACGUGCUACAAUGGAUAGUACAAAGGGUCGCGAAGCCGCGAGGUGGAGCUAAUCCCAUAAAACUAUUCUCAGUUCGGAUUGUAGGCUGCAACUCGCCUACAUGAAGCCGGAAUCGCUAGUAAUCGUGGAUCAGCAUGCCACGGUGAAUACGUUCCCGGGCCUUGUACACACCGCCCGUCACACCACGAGAGUUUGUAACACCCGAAGUCGGUAGGGUAACCUUUAUGGAGCCAGCCGCCGAAGGUGGGACAGAUAAUUGGGGUGAAGUCGUAACAAGGUAGCCGUAUCGGAAGGUGCGGCUGGAUCACCUCCUUUCUAAGGAA